This 492-nucleotide ribosomal RNA is filed under the name uncultured bacterium. RNAcentral describes it as "partial 16S ribosomal RNA". It matches the Rfam family "Bacterial small subunit ribosomal RNA", at positions 29 to 507 of the family's 1533-position model. The record is from RNAcentral.
AGUGAACGCUGGCGGUAGGCCUAACACAUGCAAGUCGAACGGCAGCACAGUAAUAGCUUGCUCUUACGGGUGGCGAGUGGCGGACGGGUGAGGAAUACAUCGGAAUCUACUUUUUCGUGGGGGAUAACGUAGGGAAACUUACGCUAAUACCGCAUACGACCUACGGGUGAAAGCAGGGGAUCUUCGGACCUUGCGCGAGUGAAUGAGCCGAUGUCGGAUUAGCUAGUUGGCGGGGUAAAGGCCCACCAAGGCGACGAUCCGUAGCUGGUCUGAGAGGAUGAUCAGCCACACUGGAACUGAGACACGGUCCAGACUACUACGGGAGGCAGCAGUGGGGAAUAUUGGACAAUGGGCGGAAGCCUGCUCCAGCCAUACCGCGUGGGUGAAGAAGGCCUUCGGGUUGUAAAGCCCUUUUGUUGGGAAAGAAAAGCAGCAGGUUAAUACCCCGCUGUUCUGACGGUACCCAAAGAAUAAGCACCGGCUAACUUCGUG